GGGGGUGAAAUGGUUUCGACAGGGAAUCCGAGGAGUAAUAAGCGAGCCGUGUUUUUCCACCUGGGGUACACGUUAAAGAACUGGGUGACCUAAAACAAACGCAAACGAUAAAUUUGCUUACGCUGCCUAAUUAGCAGCAGUUCUGCCCAUGGCCUUUCUCUCUUGCCGCCGGGGUACGAACAACCUUUGCAAGGGACAAACUUUAGAAGCGUCCUAUUCUAAAGGGGUAAUCAAGGACUAGUCUCAGCCAUGUGGAUGGUCACUAACCGGUGGUUGGGGCGAAAUUUAAAAAAGUGACUGCGCUCGGAGAAAGUUGCUUUUAUGGUUUCUUGGACGAGGGUUCGACUCCCUCCACCUCCACCA
RNAcentral lists this transfer-messenger RNA (363 nucleotides) under Acidaminobacteraceae. RNAcentral's name for it is "ML8-F1 sp002029975 Standard tmRNA". It matches the Rfam family "transfer-messenger RNA". From Rfam's summary of the family: Bacterial tmRNA, also known as 10Sa RNA or SsrA, is named for its dual tRNA and mRNA-like properties. Lineage: Bacteria; Bacillati; Bacillota; Clostridia; Peptostreptococcales. The record is from RNAcentral.